This 347-nucleotide ribosomal RNA is filed under the name uncultured bacterium. Its description in RNAcentral is "partial 16S ribosomal RNA". It matches the Rfam family "Bacterial small subunit ribosomal RNA", at positions 338 to 682 of the family's 1533-position model. The record is from RNAcentral.
CCUACGGGUGGCAGCAGUGAGGAAUAUUGGUCAAUGGGCGCGAGCCUGAACCAGCCAAGUAGCGUGAAGGAUGACUGCCCUACGGGUUGUAAACUUCUUUUAUAAAGGAAUAAAGUGAGGCACGUGUGCCGUUUUGUAUGUACUUUAUGAAUAAGGAUCGGCUAACUCCGUGCCAGCAGCCGCGGUAAUACGGAGGAUCCGAGCGUUAUCCGGAUUUAUUGGGUUUAAAGGGAGCGUAGGUGGGUUGGUAAGGCAGUUGUGAAAGUUUGCGGCUCAACCGGAAAAUUGCAGUUGAUACUGGCAGUCUUUCUUACAGUUGAUGUAGGCGGAAUUCGUGUUGUCGCGGU